Molecule: non-coding RNA, 85 nt
Organism: Daedalea quercina L-15889
Lineage: Eukaryota; Fungi; Basidiomycota; Agaricomycetes; Polyporales; Fomitopsidaceae
Source: the annotation of a GenBank genome assembly
GGCUCAAUGGUCUAGUCGUAUGAUUCGCGCUUCGGGUUUAGUGCUUGAUUGCGCGAGGUCCCGGGUUCAAUUCCCGGUUGAGCCC